RNAcentral lists this ribosomal RNA (405 nucleotides) under uncultured bacterium. RNAcentral's name for it is "partial 16S ribosomal RNA". It matches the Rfam family "Bacterial small subunit ribosomal RNA", at positions 30 to 526 of the family's 1533-position model. The record is from RNAcentral.
AUUGAACGCUGGCGGCAGGCCUAACACAUGCAAGUCGAACGAGUGGCGGACGGGUGAGUAAUGUCUGGGAAACUGCCUGAUGGAGGGGGAUAACUACUGGAAACGGUAGCUAAUACCGCAUACCAUCAGAUGUGCCCAGAUGGGAUUAGCUAGUUGGUGGGGUAACGGCUCACCAAGGCGACGAUUCCUAGCUGGUCUGAGGGGAUGACCGGCCACACGGGAACGUGACCACGGUCCAGACCCCUACGGGAGGAAGCAUUGGGGAAUUUUGGACAAUGGGCGCAAGCCUGUUGCAGCCAUGCCGCGUGUAUGAAGAAGGCCUUCGGGUUGUAAAGUACUUUCAGCGGGGAGGCGUUACCCGCAGAAGAAGCACCGGCUAACUCCGUGCCAGCCCCGCGGUAAUUC